UACAGAGGGUGCAAGCGUUAAUCGGAAUUACUGGGCGUAAAGCGUACGUAGGUGGUUGGAUAAGUCAGGUGUGAAAUCCCCAAGCUUAACUUGGGAAUUGCGUUUGAUACUGUCUGACUUGAGUUUGGUAGAGGGAGGUGAAAUUCCAGGUGUAGCGGUGAAAUGCGUAGAGAUCUGGAGGAACACCAGUGGCGAAGGCGGCCUCCUGGACUAAAACUGACACUGAGGUACGAAAGCGUGGGGAGCAAAC
This 250-nucleotide ribosomal RNA is filed under the name uncultured bacterium. RNAcentral's name for it is "partial 16S ribosomal RNA". It matches the Rfam family "Bacterial small subunit ribosomal RNA", at positions 524 to 773 of the family's 1533-position model. The record is from RNAcentral.